GGCUUGUAAAAUCAGCUGCAAGUGUGUAAUGGGGGUGGCUUGGCUCUCUUCACAAAAGAGACGGAGCCCAAAGCAAGACCUGUGGAUGUGAAGAAAUGGGCUCUGAAAGCGCCUGUCCCGCACGUCCCUGCUGUUUGAGUGCUUUUCAGCCAAGAGACCAUCUCGGACCAGAUGAACUUUGGGAUGGAGAUUGUCCCUCCUCCAUUCUUCUGGUGGACUCUUUAUUGACCUUCCUGUGGGGAAGCAUUCUAUUAGGGGGGUCUUUGACCCACCCUCCAAGAAAAGCAGGAGACACGGUGAAGCCUGUGCUGGUGGCAGUCACAAGAAGAGCUGUCUGUGCUCAGGUGGCUUCCAGGGCUGUCUGUGCUCAGGGAAAGCUGCCCGCCUGCACAGCGGUACCCACCUCUGAAUAGUUUGCUAUUCUGGGCCCUGUGCAAUUUGGAGACUGACAACUUACCUUAACUGUUGGAGCACCAACCACUUCACAGAGCUCUCCCAGGCACUGCAGUCCCUGCUUCCUGCAUGGAAAGCAUCACCGAUACCAAGCAGGUGGAGAGGGUGGCCUUUCAUAGGAUCAUAGCCUUCAGGACUCUGGGGUGCCACAACUCCUGUUUGAAACAUAUAAUUGCUGUGGCAUUCAGUGCAACUGACGACAGGGAAGCUCGAACCUGGCAACUGCUACCUUAAAAAGUAAUAGAAGAAGGAAGCAAAAACCCCUGGGGAAGCUAUGCAUACAUAGCAAAGGAGGAGCAAUGGGCUUGCAUUGGUAAACUGCUCCAUAGGGCACCCAUUCAGUGCUAUAAAGAAGGCAUCCAGGCUGUGUGUUUCCCAGCUCCUGCAGCGGUAGGAUGGACCAUGAGUGUGCAUAGGAAGGUGCGUGAAGGCAGGCUAUGCUUUCCUGGGCCAGUUCUCUCCCUCUGAGGCUGCUCCGUGCAGAGCCAGCAGUGUGUGCAGCACUGACCAACGUGGUAUUUGAGAGCUUGAGAUCUCACCGUCUACUUUCUCUUUCCAAUUGCCCUCCCACUGUUGUUCUACAGCAUGCGGUGCCUUCAGCCGUGGUUCAGCUGCCAAAGAAGGUGGGGGAGUGCUGUGCUCCCCAGCUCCAUGCGGACCGGGAGAGAGGCAGAGAAACAGAGGAGGCAGGUGCUAUUCUGCAGGUAAUGAAAGCGAUCAGCUGGCUGCCCAUGCAGCACAGCCCUCCUGCCCUCCCCAGUCCUGCUCCCUGCCUUGCCAGGAGCGCACUUGGGUAGAAAGGUCUGAAAAAUCAGGACAGCUUCUAUUCUAUGGGAACAAAAGGUUUCCUUUGUUGUAAUUCCUCUGUUGGGCUCUGCACGAGGCCCUCGCAUGGGGCCCUGCAGCACGUGCCCUGCAUCAUGGGGACAAAAGCAGAUUACUGCAGGGAUGCCUGAAAAGGAGCCAUGACUUGUUCCCUUGUUGCUACAAUCUUGUUUACAGGCUGAGCUUCGCAGGGAGCAAUUCACACAGGUUUCUUUUGCAUUAUAAUAGUAAAGAUUUUUCUUGGUGGGAGAAAAAAAAGAGGAGAGAGGGUGAGGUGAGGAUUUAUCACAGAGCCUUGCCUGAAAUGAUUUAGGCUGUUAAGACCAUUUAUGCUGAAGGAAGUGAUCAGUUUCUGCUUCCCAAACGUCGUCUCCCAGUGCCGUGGGCCUGAUUCAGCAGGGCAGCUCCAUGUGAAGAGAAACGAAGUUGAUGAAGUAUUAGGAGGAGAUGACGGCAGCUAAAGGGGAGUUCAGUGGUUGUCCUUCACUUUUGUCUUCUGUCUUUUCAAGCUUAAGGCAGCAACUUCCAAAAUUCUUCGUGAGCCAAUCAGAGCACUGAUGGAGGGAACACCUUCAGCCACUGCACCUUAACAGCCACCUCGAGUGGCCCUGUGCUGGGUUUUUAAUCAUAUGAUGGCUUUUAAUUGAUGCUUUCUGUAAUAAACGAGGGGCUGCUGUGUUUUCACUGGGUUAUUCACUUGCUUCUGUAGUAGCUUUCAGUUGCAUGAUGCACAAACGGAGUGCAGCCUUCAGAAGUGACCCGUGGGACUUGAGGGCUGAUCCACCGCUACUGAAACGGUAGGACCAAAUUCUGCUGCCUGCUGGAUGCUGGGCCUCAAAGCAGGGGUGCAGAGAGGUGUAGAAAGCAGCAGUGCUCCCUGCUGAGCUCCGUGCAUGGGGCUGCUGCUCAUGGCUGGUGGGACAAAGCACUGCAGUGCAGACUGUGCUGCUGAACGCCAACAUAGGCUGAGCACUGGGGGGGCUGCAGCUCCUUUGAGGGCAGGUAGAGGACUUCCAUUUUAUUUUACUUUCCUUUCCCCUUUCCCCUCCUUUCCUUUUUCCUUACCGUUUUCCUUUCCCCUCCUUUCCUUUCCCUUUCCCCUCCUGUCCUUUUUCCUUUCCUUUUUCCUUUCCCUUUCCCCUCCUGUCCUUUUUCCUUUUCUUUUUCCUUUUCUUUUCCCUUUCCUUUUUCCCUUCCCCUUUCCCCUCCUGUCCUUUUCCUUUUUCCUUUUCCUUUUCCCUUUCCUUUUUCCCUUCCCCUUCCCCUUUCCCCUUUCCACUCCUGUCCUUUUCCUUUUUCCCUUUCCUUUUUCCCUUUCCCUUUCCCCUCCUGUCCUUUUCCUUUUUCCCUUUCCUUUUUCCUUUUCUUUUUCCUUUCUUUUCCCCUUUCCCCCC
Long non-coding RNA from Gallus gallus (chicken), 2672 nucleotides. The record is from Ensembl. Lineage: Eukaryota; Metazoa; Chordata; Aves; Galliformes; Phasianidae.